RNAcentral lists this long non-coding RNA (234 nucleotides) under Citrus maxima (pomelo). Its description in RNAcentral is "long non-coding RNA (CMAX_LNC001054)". The record is from RNAcentral. Lineage: Eukaryota; Viridiplantae; Streptophyta; Magnoliopsida; Sapindales; Rutaceae.
AAGAAAAGUGCGAGUGGAAAACAAACACCAAUUAAUUGAAGAAGGCACGCGAGUAACCAAACCCUGUGUAAAAAUUCAAGUGCCCUCUUUACCUUCUGCUUUCUAAUCUUUACCUCUACAAAUCAAACUUGCACAAUAUGCAAGCCCAACAACAACUCCACUAUGAAAUGUCUGAAAGAAAACUGACAGAUGUUUGAACGCAUGAUUUUGUGCAUCAGCAGUAAAAUCUGCAAC